UGACAUGAAGGCAUCUAUCUGUCACUCCAUGAAUCACCAGGGUUGAUUGGGCUGAUUUAGCUAAGCAGGUGUCCCCUUCCUCCCUCACCACCCUAUGUGAUUUCCUCCCAAAGCUGCACACUUGCUCAAAGAGGAUUACCUUUCUGGAAAAAAGGACUGUGACUCAGUCAAGGGUGUAUGAAUAGCUGUUUUCCCCUGUUAGAACCUCCAAACAAGCCCUCAGGUCUCCUCAAGGAGAAAGAACACAGGGUCCUCAAGCUUUUAAGAGUCCAGAAGCAUCUAAAUGAGGUGGUGCCUUUCUUU
RNAcentral lists this small nuclear RNA (303 nucleotides) under Castor canadensis (American beaver). Its description in RNAcentral is "7SK RNA (ENSCCNG00000003836.1)". It matches the Rfam family "7SK RNA". From Rfam's summary of the family: 7SK was discovered as an abundant small nuclear RNA in the mid-70s but a possible function has only recently been suggested. Two independent studies have found that 7SK RNA binds the CDK9/cyclin T complex (known as elongation factor P-TEFb). P-TEFb activates transcription by phosphorylating the C-terminal domain of RNA polymerase II. The record is from Rfam by way of RNAcentral. Lineage: Eukaryota; Metazoa; Chordata; Mammalia; Rodentia; Castoridae.